Molecule: ribosomal RNA, 262 nt
Filed under: uncultured archaeon
Lineage: Archaea
Description: partial 16S ribosomal RNA
Rfam family: Archaeal small subunit ribosomal RNA
Source: RNAcentral
UAGCCGUAAACGAUACUCGCUAGGUGUCGGCCACGGUGCGACCGUUGUCGGUGCCGUAGGGAAGCCGUGAAGCGAGCCACCUGGGAAGUACGGCCGCAAGGCUGAAACUUAAGGAAUUGGCGGGGGGAGGCACCACAACGGGUGGAGCUUGCGGUUUAAUUGGAUUCAACGCCGGAAAUCUUACCGGGACCGACAGCAACAUGAAGGCCAGGCUGAAGACUUUGCCGGAUUAGCUGAGAGGAGGUGCAUGGCGUAGUCGUGU